Molecule: long non-coding RNA, 2715 nt
Organism: Meriones unguiculatus (Mongolian gerbil)
Lineage: Eukaryota; Metazoa; Chordata; Mammalia; Rodentia; Muridae
Exons: 3
Source: RefSeq, a predicted model, not a curated record
GCAUUCCAGGCUGGCAUCAACCCCAGGCUACAGCUCAGACUUCAUUAGAGGCCCCAUGAAGGACAGUGAAAGAAUCCUGAGCAAUUCCGAGAACUAUGAGGCAGCUCUCCAUCAACACCUGAGGGCAGAGCUGAGAAAACACAGGGGAAGGAUCAUACCAAGCAAGGUUUCUCUGGCCUGUCCCCUGAAGAGACCGGGAUGGACCCAGCAGCCUUUUCCUAGCUAAUUUUAGGCACAUCCAUUGUUUUAGCUGGAAGAGACAACAUCUAAUCUGCUAUCUGGAAGAUCACUACAAGUAUCACAUGACCCACUCACGCUACAGGUGCAAGACCAGCUCUUGAGUGCUGCUCAAAAGGCUUGUGAAAAUAUUAAGGGUCCUCAAAGAAAAUGUGGUAACAGGUUGGCUGAAGCCUGCAGUCAGGUACUGGACCAUACUCACCUAUCCCUGAGCAUCAGGCAGCAGCAUGCUCUGCUCACAGUUCUCACUGCAAGGCCGGCCUUUCAUCAGCCUUUCAUCGGCCCAGCCUUCAUCGUACUUGUCGCUCGGUUGCCAAGUGCAAUUGUCAACAUAAAGAAAAUGUGUUUAAAUUUCAGGAUGGUUGUUUUGAGAGUAAUGAGACCAAUGUCUGUCUGCAUCAGAACAUCCCACUGUGUUGAGUUAUCUCUGCUCAUCUUCUCAAACUGCAACCUCAUUUUACAAAGCUCUCACCCGCUGGGAUCCAGCUCUUCUACGAAGCCCUUUCCAACCACGCAUUGAAGAAUGCCUGCUCCGGAGUCCUGUGCUGUGAUGUUUGGUAACCCUCUUGUGCGAUUAUGAAAGUAUUUGAUGUAACGCUGUCUUCACCCCAGGGACUGAGACUCACACUACCUGUAAAUCCUUCUCAAACCCCAUCACACCCCACAGUCCCUGUGGAGUGUUCCCGACGAGAGACAAAUAUAAUGUCUUUUCCUUCCACAACUGCCGGAACACUGAGGAGUGUUUGUCAAUGGAAUGGAAGGAACUUGUGAAAACAGCAAAGUACCAACUAGAACAAACAUGGUCGGUCAGCCAUGGGAGGAAAGAAACAGGUCAUGUUAUACUUUGCUCAGACUGCGUGUAGUAGAGCAUCAUGCAGAGAACUUAUAUACACCAAUAACGACAGCAGAGAUCUGGAGUCGGCUCUCCUGAGCUCUGUGCCUUGCACUCAAGAGUGUAUGAUAAGGUUUUGAAAAUUGUAUAUCAAGGAGCUACAUAAUUUUAAAAGUAAAGAUUGACCCUGCUUUUCCUAAUACUCUGUUGUUUUCCUCUGUCUUGAUUAAACAUGAUGAAAAUGCUAUCCUUAUUCAGACUCAUCACAGAGUACUUUCAGGUUUAAAAAAGGAACCCCAGAAACAGAAUGUUUAUAAAGAAAGGGAAUUCUAAAAUCAAAACUGAUAUGAGUCGGGUGCGGUGUCACACACCUGUAAUCCCAGAACUCAGGGAGGCAGAGGCAGGUGGAUCUCUGUGAGUUGGAGACCAGCCUGGUCUUCGAAGCCAGUCCAGGAUAGCCAAGGCUACACAGAGAAGCCCUGUCUGGAAAAACAAAAACAAGCAAACAAACAAACAAAAAAAUGAUAUGAAGUUCAGUGUUUUAGAAUGAUAUAGUUAAAAAAAAAAAAAAAAGAAAGUCUGCUAUGGUGUCCUGGCUAGACUAAAUUUGAAUUAAUAUUUUAAAUCUUUAAUGUCCAAAUUGUUUUGCAUUUCUAACACAUAAAAUAGUCUAGAGGGGGCUCAGUUUCCACCACCUGAGUGUGCAAUCAGAUGAACUUUGAACACUUUAUUUGAAUGAAGAGACACACUCAGGAAAAAAAAAAACACUCUCCCUUAGGUAUUUUAUUUGCAAUUAAAACAAAAAUUAUAAUCAGACAUACUAACAGUUGAAGUCCUAAGCAUAAAGCUUGCUAAUGUUGAUUGGUAACUUUUGUGCCCCAAACCUACUUUGCCCAGAGAGUAUUUGCAGUUUCGAUGUUUCCAGCUUUCAAUGAAGUUUCCCAUUUUUAUAGAAUAUAACCUAUAUUCUAUAUAGAUUAUAUUUAGGCACCGUGAGCACCUGUGUGUUCACAGAUACGUGGGUCCUGAGAGAGCCUGUGUGUGUCAAACAACACGGCUGAGACGGUCACUGAUCCGAAGGCUGGAACGUUCCCGUCUGUGACAUCAACGUAAAGACUUUGUGGCCAUCCCAGUCCACGACUCUGAGACACAAAUCUACAUGUUGAUGCCCCUUGCUGCACUGAUGAAACCUCGUGGUCAUUUCGGCUGGCGCAGUUCUGUUAUCCCUUUGCCUAAAAUAACAAGUCUAAAGUUUCAGCAACAAAAUUUGGAGACAGAUUUUCUGUCAAGAGCUCCAACCUCUCUUUCAACUCCAAGGAAGGUGUGUUUGUGCUGAGGAGAUAGAGGCUGGGGCAGAGCCAGAACACAGACCAUGAGUAUGCUCUGAUCAUGUGACAAGGAGUUUGUGGACACAGCAGCCAAGCUCCAGUGACAUGGGAUUAGACAACACAGAUGGGCAACUCUGAGCAAAGUACCUGGCACUCUGUGCAGGGUACCAGGAGGACUGAGAUCCAGUUGCCCUCAGUAGCAGAAGGCUGAGUACAUUGCUGAUGGAGACCCCUCUCUCUCCCUCCCUCCUUCCCAUAAAGGCUCCUCUCUCUCUCCUCUCCUUCCUCCUACCCCUUCCCUGGGAUCACUGUUCAAAU